Molecule: ribosomal RNA, 427 nt
Filed under: uncultured bacterium
Lineage: Bacteria
Description: bacterial SSU rRNA
Rfam family: Bacterial small subunit ribosomal RNA
Source: RNAcentral
GCUGGCGGCAUGCCUAACACAUGCAAGUCGAACGAGACCUUCGGGUCUAGUGGCGCACGGGUGCGUAACACGUGGGAAUUUGCCUCGGGGUAUGGAAUAACUCAGGGAAACUUGAGCUAAUACCAUAUAAUGUCUUCGGACCAAAGAUUUAUCGCCCUGAGAUAAGCCCGCGUAGGAUUAGCUAGUUGGUGGGGUAAAGGCUCACCAAGGCGACGAUCCUUAGCUGGUUUGAGAGGAUGAUCAGCCACACUGGGACUGAGACACGGCCCAGACUCCUACGGGAGGCAGCAGUGGGGGAAUAUUGGACAAUGGGCGAAAGCCUGAUCCAGCAAUGCCGCGUGAGUGAUGAAGGCCUUCGGGUUGUAAAGCUCUUUUACUCGGGACGAUAAUGACGGUACCGAGAGAAUAAGCCCCGGCUAACUCCGUG